Molecule: ribosomal RNA, 253 nt
Filed under: uncultured bacterium
Lineage: Bacteria
Description: partial 16S ribosomal RNA
Rfam family: Bacterial small subunit ribosomal RNA (bases 27-253)
Source: RNAcentral
UACCAGCACCCCGAGUGGUCGGGACGUUUAUUGGGCCUAAAGCAUCCGUAGCCGGUUCUACAAGUCUUCCGUUAAAUCCAACUGCUUAACAGGUGGGCUGCGGAAGAUACUAUAGAGCUAGGAGGCGGGAGAGGCAAGCGGUACUCGAUGGGUAGGGGUAAAAUUCGUAGAUAUUCGGAAGAACACCAGUGGCGAAGGCGACUUACUGGACACAUAUUGACGCUGAGGUGCGAAAGCGUGGGGAGCAAACAGG